Triticum aestivum (bread wheat) is the source of this 125-nucleotide non-coding RNA. Lineage: Eukaryota; Viridiplantae; Streptophyta; Magnoliopsida; Poales; Poaceae. The record is from Rfam.
CAUGUAGUCCCUCUGUCUGGAAAUACUUGUCGGAGAGAUGGAUGUAUCUAGAUGUAUGUUUGUUCUAGAUGCAUGCAUUUUCAUCCAUUUCUAAGACAAGUAUUUCCGGAUGGAGGGAGUACUAC